GGUGAUUGGAGGAACAAUUGGAUCAUAGGCUUGAUAUGAUGAAUAAAUAAAUGGCCUGGUGACAUUUGGAGUGGCAGCCUUCCAGAUCUGCAAUUGCCAUAAAACUGAAGGGACAAAUAAUGAACCUGGGGUGGAAACACUGGGUUUAGGGACCAUAGAUUUGAUAUUACCUCACCAUCUGAUCAUCAGCCUUGAUUUUCCUCUCUUGGCUGCAUGCAGGGGCUAAAUGCCAGUUCCUUAUCAACUUCAUAAUAGAGACAAGAAGGUGAUGCUUGGAAAGUCCACCAAAGUUUAUGAAGCCUGCAGCAACCGAUAUGCUUAACCUGUACUGUAAUCUUGUUGUUCCAAGUGUCCUUUUAUUAUUAUUAUAAUUAUUAUUUGCUUUUGCUUUUUGGGGGGCUAUACCUGGCAUGUGGAAGUUCCCAGGCUAGGGGUCCAAUUGGAGCUGUAGCUGCUAGCCUACGCCACAGCCACAGCAAUGCGGGAUCCAAGCCUCAUCUGUGACCUACACCAGAGCUCACGGCAACGCCAGAUCCUUAAUUCAUUGAAUGUGACCAGGGAUCAAACCCUAGAAUUCCCCAAAUGUCCUUAUAACUUAAAAAAGAAAGGAAAAGAAAAAAGAAUAAUCUCAUCUUCUUAGGCCAAUGGAGAUGAUCACUUUUGCUUUGAAUAUGUCAACAAAGGAGCAAGUCAGACCAAGGGAGGAGACCCUGGAGUUCCUGUCGUGGCACAGUAGUUAACGAAUUCAACUAGGAACCAUGAGGUUGCAGGUUCGAUCCCUGGCCUUGCUCAGUGGGUCGAGGAUCCAGCGUUGCCGUGAGCUGUGGUGUAGGUUGCAGACGCGGCUCGGAUCCUGUGUUGCUGUGGCUCUGGCGUAGGCCGGUGGCUAUGGCUCCAAUUAGACCCCUAGCCCAGGAAUCUCAUAUGCCUCAGGAGCGGCCCUCAAAAAAAAAAAAAAAAAAAAGAGAGGAGACCUUAUGGUCUGAAAAGGAAAAUGAGAACCUUAUUCCUCUUCUAGGAAGAAUUUAAGAAAGAUGAUUUUUUUUUAAUAAUUUUUUUUUUAUUUUCCCACUGUACAGCAAGGGGGUCAGGUUAUCCUUACAUGUAUACAUUACAAUUACAUUUUUCCCCCACCCUUUCUUCUGUUGCAACAUGAGUAUCUAGACAAAGUUCUCAAUGCUAUUCAGCAGGAUCUCCUUGUAAAUCUAUUCUUUUUUUUUUUUUUUUAAAUCUAUUCUAAGUU
RNAcentral lists this long non-coding RNA (1243 nucleotides) under Sus scrofa (pig). RNAcentral's name for it is "lncRNA (ENSSSCG00000044363.1, ENSSSCG00025005323.1)". Lineage: Eukaryota; Metazoa; Chordata; Mammalia; Artiodactyla; Suidae. The record is from RNAcentral.